AUAUUGGACAAUGGGCGCAAGCCUGAUCCAGCCAUGCCGCGUGAGUGAUGACGGUCUUAGGAUUGUAAAGCUCUUUCACCGGUGAAGAUAAUGACGGUAACCGGAGAAGAAGCCCCGGCUAACUUCGUGCCAGCAGCCGCGGUAAUACGAAGGGGGCUAGCGUUGUUCGGAUUUACUGGGCGUAAAGCGCACGUAGGCGGACUUUUAAGUCAGGGGUGAAAUCCCAGAGCUCAACUCUGGAACUGCCUUUGAUACUGGAAGUCUUGAGUAUGGAAGAGGUGAGUGGAAUUCCGAGUGUAGAGGUGAAAUUCGUAGAUAUUCGGAGGAACACCAGUGGCGAAGGCGGCUCACUGGUCCAUUACUGACGCUGAGGUGCGAAAGCGUGGGGAGCAAAC
Molecule: ribosomal RNA, 395 nt
Filed under: uncultured bacterium
Lineage: Bacteria
Description: partial 16S ribosomal RNA
Rfam family: Bacterial small subunit ribosomal RNA
Source: RNAcentral